UGUUAAGUGAAGCUGUAGAUUCAAUGUAAGAAGGUGUUUCUCAUAGUUUCUGGUGCUAAUCUCUGCUUGUUUUAAUGGUGUUUAUCAGGACCUGAGUCAAAAUUGCCUCCUUGGAACUGAACUGUUCAAUAGAAGGUCUCAGAGUCAAAGAAAAAGGUAGGUUAUUUAAGAUAUGCUGAUUUUUGCUGGUUAUCUGAAAGCGAUUGUGGGGUAAGAUACUUUGCCAAAGACUAACCGAGGGAUGUCUAAAAUUACACAGAAGAUGUUGGUGAAAUACAAUUAUUCGUUGAUGCUUUGGGCUGGCUGAGCAGCAUGAGAAUUGUAGUCCACAAACAACUGCAUUGCCAAAGUUAGCCAUAAAUGAAUGAACCGCAGGUCUUUUCUACACAUUCUUUUAACUUCAUCAUCUUUGGUGAUAUAGAACUAACUAUUUAUAAUUUCUGUCUUUUUAAUUUUAUUUUUGUGUUUCACACACAUAUGUGGUUUAUCAUAUAGCUGUAUCUGAGUUCAGCCAUGUGCUCUGUAACAUGUGAGGAUUUUGCCAGUUUAGGCAUGUGGUUUAGGUACAGAAAGCAUUACAAUGUAUUUCAUCACCUAAGCCACUAAAUGAGUAAAUUGAUCAAGACUUUAUCUUUCAAUGUGUACUGAAUGAGUUAGUGAAUGAAGUCUGUCUCUUUCUGGGUGUACAGAAUGAGUUAAUUGACCAGAACUGUCUCUUUCUGGGUGUACAGAAUGAGUUAAUUGACCAGAUCCGUCUCUUUCUGGGUGUACAGGAUGAGUUAAUUGACCAGAUCCGUCUCUUUCUGGGUGUACAGAAUGAGUUAAUGGUUUUGGGUCUGUCUUUUUCUGGUGUAAUGAAUGAGUUAAUGAUUUUGGAUCUGUCUCUCUCUCUGGAUAUACAGCAUGAGUUAAUGGUUUUGGUCUGUCUCUUUCUGGGUGUAAUAAAUGAGUUAAUGAAUCAGGUCUGUCUCUUUCUGGAUGUAAACAAUGUUUUAAUAAUUUAAAUAUUAUGCUGAUCUUUUAAUGUACACGGUCGCUAUGGAAACAUGGUGUACCAUUAAUAUAUUGGGUGAUCAAAAUCCUUAGCAAGCAACCCUGAGAAAGGUUUGGUCUUGAGAUCACCAAUGGCUGUACAUGAUUAGUACAUUUACCUUGAGUGCCCCGAUAAAAUCCUUGCUGGCAUAUAUAUAUUUAUAUAUAUAUAUAUAUAUAUAUAUAUAUAUAUAUAUAUUACUAAGCGGGUUUCAAGACUUAAUUAUUAAUAGUAUCAGUUGUCCAAUCUUGCAGAACUUGGUAUGAAAAUCUCUAAACUAUGAGAAAUCGUUUUCUUAGGCGUGAAAAUACCGCACUCAAUAACUUGUCAUGGUGUUCAAAAAGAAAUUCAGGGAUAAAGAACAGACAUGAAUUAAAGUUGACGUCUAGUGUUGCUGCUUAGCGGGAAAUUCCGAGGGAAGUUUUUUUUCUGAGUAUUGAAUGCACUGUGUUAUAUCGUAAUAUAGAGUUAAAGAAACAAGUGCUUUAUAUAAGUUUUCUACAAUGUAUUUUGUUCACCUGUUGCUUGGCAGCCAUAUCUGUAGGUUAACUUAUGAAAUAUUGAGCCCACCCCAUGCUUCCAAGCCUCUCAGAGCCAACGUCUUAAUGUAGGCAGAGAUAUUAAAUGACUUGCCUGAAACCUUAUUUAGGUUGCCUCUGGGGUGAGAUCUAAAUCGUGUUAUCCGUAAUAUAGUCCGAUUAGGAGUUGUGUGCUCAUCCCAGAGCUGGAUUUGUGCUACUGUGACGUAAUGGUGGGCUUAACACAAUAUGGCCAUAUGGUGGAACCGAAUCCCCAUAUUUAUUUACUAGGAUAGGUGAUUUUAAUUAGCCUUGUUAAAUGUAAAGAUGUAUUUUUGUUUCUGUGUGCCUUGUUAAAUGUAAAGAUGUAUUUUGUAUGUGUUUUGGUCUUUACGGCAGCACCACUGCUUGGAAAUGCGUUUUCUGGGUGUGCCCCCAAUUCCCAUUUUUUUUCUGGAUUUGACAAAAGGCAGAGUAGGCAGCUGCCUCCAGCCAUGUGACUAGAAGAGGCAUCUGAGCUAAACACAACCAUUUUUCACCUUUAAGAUUUAUAUAUAUACACACAUUUCAUAUUGCUGCACGGUAAUUGCUUUUUGUUUCUAUUUUCUGGAGUAAAGGAUCAAAUGGUAGAAUUCUGGAUUCUCUUGUGAGGCAACAGAGAACUAGAUUUGUGCAGGAGGUAGGGAUGCCUGCUAAUUAUAUGUCUGCGGGCAAUUAAGAUGUAAAUCCAGUCCUGGUUUUGCCAAGCACGCUGUGAUAAAAUCUCAGUUUUAAGAAAAUGCCAAAUUCACUAUAAUAAUUAUAUGAUAUGCAUGGGCGUAGAAUGUGUGUUGUUUCAGGAGUUGUGCAGUUAGAGCAGAGAUAGGCACUUAAGAUGUUUUUGGACUACAUCAACCAUAAUGCUCUUACAGCCGCAAUGCUGGCAAAACAUCAAGGGAGAUGUGGGUUAGAGUGUGAUUGAAGUUGGUUCCAAGCACUGGACAUCACCCUCUUAUAUUCAUGGGCUUAUUUCUACCCCCUUAUGCCAGCUUUAUUGGUCUCCUUACCUUAUUCCCAUGGCUAGAUUUAAAGGGAUACUAUAGUCACCAAAUCAACUAUAGCUUAAUGAAGCAGUUUUGGUCUAUAGAUCAUGCUCCUGCAGUCUUACUGCUUAAUUUUCUGUUAGUAGUUACAUCACUUUGUUUAUGCAGCCCUAGUCACACGUCCCUGCAUGUGACUUGCACAGCCUUCCUAAAUACUUCCUGUAAAGAGUAAUCUAAUGUUUACACUUCCUUUAUUGCAAACGCUGUUUAAUUUAGAUUUUCUUAUCUCCUGCUCUGUUAAUAGCUUGCUAGACUUUGCAGUUAAAGUAUGUAGUUAAAGUUCAAUUUAAGUUCAAUUUACAGAGUAGGAGAUACAAACUUUUAAAGUAGGUUAACAUCUGAUUGAAAAUGAAACCAUGUUGUUUUUAUACAGGAUAUGUCAAGCACAGCCAGGGUUGGUGUGGCUAGGGCUGCAUAAACUGAAACAAAGUGAUUUAACUUCUUAAUGGCAGAAAAUUGAGCAGUGAAACUUCAGAGGCAUGAUCUAUACACCAAAACUGCUCCAUUAAGUUCUUUGGUGAUUAUAGUGACCCUUUAAUCUUUUCACCCUCACCCUGUACUAUCCAUCUCUAUUACCUCCUCUACCAAUCUUUGAACCUUAAUAAUUUACAAACAUAUAUAUUUUAGGUUAUAUAACAGCUUUGAAUUUAUUGGUGUUAUCCCAUGUCUUUAGAACGUGGAGAUUCAGCAGGGGACCCCCCUAAUCCUCAUUCGCUCUGUGACAAAGCGAUGGAACAUAGCUCCGUAAUAAUGGUGUUUAUUUAAUCUAAAAAUAAAAUUCAAAACUGAAUUGCAAAAUCAAUGCUUAACCCCUUAAGGACCAAACUUCUGGAAUAAAAGGGAAUCAUGACAUGUCACACAUGUCAUGCGUCCUUAAGGGGUUAAAUAGACAAGAUGUGGCAAAAGCAGAGUUGGAUAAUUUUUUUUGAAAGAGCAUUUUUUUUGCCUAAAUUUUGCCAUUCAAUUUUCGGUGUGUGAUAUGUCUUGCAGUAAAUUCGCUUGUAAUCUAAUUUGAUAGAGUCCACAAAUGAUUUAUUAACUGCUUUAUAGGUUAUCUAUAGUAUCAAAGAAAACACUGAAUCCUAGUUACAUUGUGUGAGAAGUACAUGAAUUGUGUAAUGUUCUCUGAGGGUGAAUGGGUGGAACCAUGUGGCCUCUGACUCACACCACUGCUGCUUAGAAAGUAGUUGUCGGCGCAUGUGGAUGUUUGUGAUGUAACACAGCCGCAAGGAGUGUGAUUAAAAUAGCCUUUCAAAUAUAGGCCCACUCCACCAGUAUGUUAAUGCAGGGGUAUCUAAAAGGUAGAUAUAGCUCCAGCUGUGGCAGACCUACACCUGGUCAAGCAUUACAAGAGUUGCAGUUCUACUACAGGUUGGGAGCUACCACUGGGCAUCCCUGGGUUAUUUUAUGCACUAUCUCCCCUGGAUGUAGAGCUAAGCUGCACCCAAAGUGUAGAAUGUCCACGUUGCCAAGUGAGAUCAAACCUGGGGGGCAAUGACAGGCUGAGAGUGCUUAGUGUACAUUUUUUCUAUCCAACUGAUCUAAAAUGGUUUGACAAAUACAAACAAACAAACGAUAAUGUCCAUAGACUGACAGCACCAUAACCACUGCAAUUAGCCAUAAUGGUUAUGGUACUUCGAGUGCCCAUUUGAGAAAGCAAGUGCAGCUGAAGGAUCGUGUGUGGUGCUGAUAUGUAGAGCAGAAACAUAAAAACGUGAAGCUGUUUCUUGUAGAUAACAUCGUAUUUCAGACAGGAAGCUUACAGUACAGAAAGCACUUCUGAACAACAGGUUUGGGCACAAUAUGAAACGUCUGAUCAUAGAGUCUAUUUCAUAAUCUUUCCGUCAUUACGUUGAAGCAGAGUAUCCGGUGAUAAACAUGGUGCAUGGUAUAAUAGGCAAUUUCUGUAAAAGCCAAAGUUUAAAUAAUACAUAAUUAUGUUCUUUCAAAUGACAGAAUCCAUUUUCAAACAGAUGUCUCAUGAAUCAGUGCUGCAAAAUAUGUUUGUAUUUUGUAAAUGUUACUAAUCAUGAUGUGUGGAUAACUAAGUUAUGGAACAUAGAAUGCCUUAUAUAAUUUCAUAACGAUGAGUUUUACUGGCGAUCUGUCACAAGUGACUUGAGAAUAGAGUUUGUGGAGGAUGGUGUCAUAGGAGCCUACAAAUGCAGCCAUGUGCAUGUGCUAUUUCUCACGAAUCAUGAAGGUUUAGCCAUGCCUAGUCUUAAAACCCAAAGCAACUUUUGCAAGGAUAAGGUAAGUCCUAAGGAGUUUGAAAGUGCAACCAUGGCCAGGCCUAAGUCCCAAGCAUCUUGGAGAUGUAGAUGUGAAUAGGCCUCAAGGAAUUUGAAGGUCUAGCUGCAACUAGGCCUCAAACAUUGUAUUAUUAGCAAUGACUAGGCUUCAAGUAUGAAGAAGCCUGUAGGAGCAGCUAUGGCUAGGCUCCAAUUCUGAAGGGGCCUGUAGGAGCAGCAAUGGCUAAGCUCCAAGUCUGAAGGGGCCUGUAGGAGCAGCUAUGACAAGGCGCCAAGUCCGAAAGAGCAUGUAGGAGCAGCUGUGACUAGGCUCCAAGUCUGAAGGAGCCUGUAGGAGCAGCAAUGAAUAGGCUCCAAGUCUGAAGGAGCAUGUAGGAGCAGGUAUGACUAGGCUCCAAGUCUGAAGGAACCUGUAGGAGCAGCUAUGAGUAGGCUCCAAGUCUGAAGGAGCAUGUUGUAGCAGCUAUGAUUAGGCUCCAAGUCUGAAGAAGCAUGUAGGAGCAGCUAUGACUAGGCUCCAAGUCUGAAGGAACCUGUAGGAGCAGCUAUGAGAAGGCUCCAAGUCUGAAGGAGCAUGUAGUAGCAGCUAUGACUAGGCUCCAAGUCUGAAGGAGCAUGUAGGAGCAGCUAUGACUAGGCUCCAAGUCUGAGGAAGCCUGUAGGAGCAGCUAUGACUAGGCUCCAAGUCUGAGGAAGCCUGUAGGAGCAGCUAUGACUAUGCUCCAAGUCUGAUGGAGCCUGUAGGAGCAGCUACGACUAGGCUUCAAGUUUGAAGGAUCCUGUAGGAGCAACUAUGAGAAGGCUCCAAGUCUGAAGGAGCAUGUAGUAGCAGCUAUGACUAGGCUCCAAGUCUGAAGGAGCCCGUAGGAGCAGCUAUGACUAGGCUCCAAGUCUGAUGGAGCAUUUAGGAGCAGCUAUGACUAGGCUCCAAGUCUGAAGGGGCCUAUAUGGACUUCAGAUAUUUUGAUGUGAAUGUACCUCUAUAGCCGAUUAGUGAGAAAAAAAUUUAUUUGCUUUUGUGAUGUUUUGUUUAUAAGAAAUUAAAUCAUAAACAUUGUCUCAUACCACUAAAAUGACUGUUCUAAACACAGACAUAGCUGAAUCUUGGUCACAUUUUCAGUGAAAUAUUUAGAACAGAAAGACUGCGUUUGCCAAGACGUGCAUCACGAGGCCGCUGCUAGGAUUCUGUCGCAGGUGCUUCCUCCCGUAGAGUGAAUUAUUCUUGUAAGAACAGUCAUUAGGCUGUGAUCUAUCAAAAAAUGGUUCACAUGGGUAUAUUUAUCAGCUAAAUCAUAAUUAUUAUAUCUCUGGCUUGAUACUGGCUUAGAAUAGAAUUAACUGUAUUUUAAAUAUGUAAAAAGUAAAAAGAAGUGGGCGGAGGGAAACAUUAAAGAAGAUUAAAGACUGAAGCUCUGGUUUAUAAUCCAAACAGAUGGGACCCCUUUAAAUUGCACCCUUUGUCCUGGACCCCGCUUUCAUAGAUGCCUCCCCAGGUUUAAUUGCCCGAGGAUUUAAACCCUUCUGUAUUCAGGACAGAGUAUUUCAAACUCCACACUGUUUUAGCAAUCCUGUUUUUAUUUAGCUAAUGCUAGCUGCACUUUUCUUUAUUUUAUGAAUGCCCUGUGGCAUUUUACAAACUCAGUUCCCAUAUUCUAUUUUUUGGUUUUGUUUUGUGUGUGUUUACUGUCUGGAAUAAAUAAGUAGAACUUAGAGAUUCAUGCCUUAACCUCUCUUGUUCUUACCUCGGGUUCUUCAUUUAUCGGCACAGCUGCUGUGUAUUCCUGUCCCCGGGCUGGCCAUAGCACCUGUAACUGGGAGAUUUGAUUAUCUGAAAUGUGUUGGCUUUAUGUCUUUUUCUUCUUUUGGUUGCUCUUUAGUGACCCUCCAAGUAUUUACUCUACACCUUCUUUACUAAAACUCAAAAAUCUUAAAUCAUUUUAAAAGUUUUUCCAAUAAUAUUAAAUUGAGGCCAUAAUUGUUACAACCGCUAAUUCACCCCAUUUUGGGAAAACACUGUUCUGAGAAUAACCGGCCUACUUUCACUUUUUGGGGCACACUGGAAUUAAAUAAAAAAGUUUGAAAUCGGUGAAAAGGGGCAGACACGUAUGCAGAAAAUUAAGCUGUUUAGUUUUAGUUUCAGUGAGGCUAUAUGUAUCGAUUUACCUAAUCAUCUUGGCUUCCAAUAGCACUGGACUUACUCAUUACGUCAACAUCCUAAUUUUCUAGUGGAAACAGGCCCACCCAUAUUAAGCUGUGAAUGAGCAAAAGAAUAAGCCAAACCAGGACCAAUUAUAGAGCAGUUUCUACAUUUUCAGGAUAAAGUGCUCAUUCUGACAGUAUACAACAACUCCCUCCUCUCAAGUAAAAUGACAUUUCAAUGUGGAUUCACCUGAAUAAUUUUUUUUACGUUACCCAAUGUAGAUGGGAGUUUAGAUUGUUAAAUAAAUAAAAUGUACUUUGGUCUACCUCAUUUACACCUUAAUAUUUCAGAAAAACCUAGGACUCUCAGGAGCCAAUGAUUUACUCAACUGAGCUCCAUCCUUAGAUUGGUACUCUUCUUAAAUUCUUCCUUCUUCAACACACCCAUCUCAAGAUGCCGAAUAAACGUUUAAUGUUUAUUUUUAAUGUCCUGUGUUGUUUGUACGUAUUCUGAGCCUUUGAAUUACCAGACUCUGAUUUUAUAUUUUCUACUAUUUAUUUGGGACUUUCCAUCCAUCUCUAAAAUGGGAUGGAUGCUCCUUGCUGGCUUAAACCUACUUCUGAGCCAUCCACAGUUCACAUCUUCAAGCGAUUAACAUUCUAUUCCUAGAAUGUCAUGGGUGCAAAUACACCCAUAAAAAAAUAUAUUGGACUAAAGACUCACAUACAACAGUGAAGACCCCAUGAAUUCACAUCGCAGCCUCUUUCAAUUCAAAGGCUCACAUUUGAAGACCAUUAAUCCAGAUGGAUGCUAUAUCUUGUUAAAGGUUAUAACUGAUGGCAACUCUUAUAGUAUGGUAAACGUACAUUAGCUAAAUACUUCUAAUUCUGCAUUUUAGUACAAAUUACUAGAUUUUCGGGGGCGGGGCCGGGCCGCCAAGCAGCAUGGCAGCAAAACACCGUGGCUCCGAGCUUCAGCCCUAAACAACGGCAUAAAACUUGCUCACAACUUACCCCAGAGCCGGAUUACAUGCUGCAUUACAAUGGGGUACUACCCAAGCACCCAUAUGAUACCAGACUACGGCCAAAAAUUCACGGGGAACACCGAGACGGAUGAACCCGGCCUACACACCUGCAUAAGCCUGCAUGAGGACAGCUGCAGAUAGAGAACAGACGCCUGAUUGCAAGGCCCGAGAUACAAACACACCAGCUAUGCGGACACUGGGGGAGAUCUCCACGGGUGAGAGCGGCGGCCCCGCCCCCCCCCCCGGCCGGAGGGGGUAAUCCCGGCUACAUGGAGGCUGCACGCCCUGGGGUGGACGCAACCACCCGGGGUGCUCGCUGACCUCCUGCACAGGCACUGGCUGCCAAACUGCGGCCCGCCAGAUAUCUACACUCGAAAGACAGGGACGAUUAUUGCCUGCGCUACAGGAUUAACGCGCACCCUGAACUUAACGGCCUACAACAGUCCUGCCUUGCCAUCAGAAGCUGUCCUGGUGAUACAACACCCACGGAUGAAGUGGGGCCCCGGAGGCGAUGCACGUGGGUGGGGGAGCCAGGCGGGAUGCUGCUGCGGUGUCCUUGGGGCCCACUGGCCGGAUGCCGCGACCCUUGGACUAUGCCCUGCGAAGACCGAAGUGCCGUCACCUGUGGGUUUGAGGAGGACCUGCAGGCAACUGUCCCCGACGCUGUGAGCCCUCGUGGAGCGGAACGCGGCGGCCCCCGGCGGACCGGUGGCUGUGGGGAGGCUGGCGCCCGCCCCGAGUGGCCGGAGAAGGGUGAGACACAGGACGGCCUUCACCCUGACCAUCUGGGGCCCCAGUGGUGCAGUGGGGGUGCAGGGGAUUACUGACUGGCACACGGACUUUAGGCGGUGGGUCCUGUGGACUGAUGGGUCCCCGAGUGCCCGCUGUGCUGCAGAUCUCCCGGAUGGAGGCUUGGCGCGGCCUAGGGGGAUGCCGCGGAGGCCUGGCGCCCCUGGGAUCAGCCGCAAAGGCAUCUGCAGUCGGUUCCCCCCGCUCGGGGGGGUCGUAUCCGUGGCCCUUCAAUGCCUGUGGACUGAGUUGAUACACGCUGCUAAUGACAUGCAGCAGUAAAUGUUUUUUUUUGUUUUUGUUUUUUGUUUAUUCACCAUAUAAAGCUGUACAUUAUGCAGCAUCAUGUCCUUAUCUACGUUAUGCUCCUGUCUUAUGCUUGAUGAUCCUUGAGGACUGAAAAGCAUCAGUGAUAUGUUCAUGCUAUAAUGCUGCCUGUUUAAUAUAUUUUUCUAGUCUUGCUUACACUGCCCAUGCAGCAGUGCCUAUAUGAGCAUUCUUUACGGAACAACCUGCUUACAGUUUAACCGUUCAUUGUUUAUUUUCUAGAUGUGUUUGUAAUCACGCACGUACAGAUUUUGUGGGUCCUAUCUUGUGGGACAUCGAUUACCUCUUACCUGAGGGCACGAAUUAAAGACUUACAACAUACUACCCUGUUAAACGUAGGGAGAGGAAGUUAUACAGCAACCAAAUUAGCCCCUAAUCCCCCAUUACCUAAUCCUUGAAUGUCAUGUUAACAUCUCAGAGUGAAAUACUAACCCUUUCUCUGAUUUCCUAAUGACGGGCCCUUGUGUUAUACCAUAGUUUAAUCCCACCCUGCCAGCAUAUGGGGACUCACUAAUGGGUUGCUGCGUAUUGUUUAACCAAAUAAAGUUGAGAAUAGGCAUAAAACAUUAUUUAACUGGACCCGUUAUAAUUCAGCGUAGACAACAGUGCAAAUACCUCGGUUCAGAUUUCGCUAAACAUUGUAGCGCUAACAUAAGCUGACUGAAAAAUAAGAUGCCGAGAAUGAUCUCUUCUCGCCAAUGUUGGAACGGAUAUGCAAUAUGACUUUGUUUAACCUUAGUUAUGUUACUUGUGUUCACAUAAUCUAACCUUUCUGCCUUACUAGGCUUUGACUGUUCUCAUUCGAUAUAAAAUGCACUCUGUGGCAUAUGCCUAUGUCGAAAAGUUUACUAUGCUCAUUUGUCUCCCCUGCGUGGGAUGACUGCUUUUCUUAUGCACCAAUAAACUUAUUCAAAACAAAUUACUAGAUUUUCUUUGAAAUUGAGCUACUAAUUAUUGGUGGGGAUAAUAUGUGUUAUUGAAUACAAAGUUCACUGGUCAAAUCAACUCAGGACCCCAGACCUAGAGACAUCUUUCUGGUCUGAAACAAUGCUUUAGAACUCUAAACCUUCUAGACUCACAAGGCAUCUGGUGGACCUUUCUCUUGAAUCCUUAAAUUAGGAUUAUCUACCAAAACCUGGUAAAAACUCAACAAAAGUAGCUUCUUAUUGCCCAAUCUCACUCUGAUUUGGAUUUAAGAAAUAUUUUGGAUAUGCAAACUGUAGUGUUUUAACUAACAACAUCCUAAUAUAUCACUAAUUUAGUUUUGUGGAAGGGUGCCUUCUGGUAGAGGGAAUCAAGAGGGCAUUGACUGCACAACUAUGGAACAGCACCAGUCAACCAAAACUGCCUUAUUCAACUAUCCUCUUUGGUAGAGCCAAUCACUAUAAGGCACUUAGUUUUCCAAAGUUACUUGUAGCAUUUCAAGUACUUCCACAACUUUCUCCAUAUCUGAUAAGUGUACCAUUGACUGACACUUUCCUAAUUUUCUCUGGGAAGGUAGUGCUGCAAGGCAAAUUGCAUCAGACAAAAUCCAACACAAGAAUCUACCAAAUAUAAACAAAAAAAACCCGAAAAAGCCAAAUUUAGCCUUAAUACCCUAGUUGGAUAAUGUCUAAAUCAGGUGAUUUUUCAAAACUGGCUCUUUUAUUCUAAAUAUUACAGUUCAGCUCAUAGCAAUUCUUUAUUUAGUGAAUAACUCCUAACUCUUACUCCUACGCCCGUUUAUAUAUUUUAAUACCCGCGCAGUGCAGAGCGUUGAUUAGUCUGUGGUAGGGAAAAUAUAUCUUGUUUAUAGACAAAAUAUUUACAUAGACAGCAUCCUUUAUUUAGAUGUCCAUUAUGGGAUUUUACUCCACAUGUGUUUUAUUUUUCCAGGACUUUCCACAAUAGGAGGCAGCACGAAGCAAUAGUCUGUGUUUUCCAAAACUGUUAAUAAAAGCUAAAAAUUUUUUUUUGUUUUUUCUCUCACUCCUUCCAUUCAUAGAGUCUAUUAUCACACUAACCAUUAUAAACAACAUAAAUGUAAAAUUGUAAAAAAAAAAAAGGUUGGCUCGGCUAAUCCAAAUCUGUUCAAUUAUCCGUGUUAAAUGUGAAAUAAGUUGGCUCUUAUCAUACCCAUAUUGAAUGUUGGUAUUGUUGUAAUGGCCAGGAAUGGAGAUAAAUAAUGGAAUCUCUUAUAUAAUAUUAAAUCCUCGAGGUUAGAUACAGUUGGUAAGUUUCUUGUAGUUAUAAUUUCACAUAUAAUUUUAAAUAAACCUAUAUUAAGCGGUAUGCCUUAUACUUUCUCCUUUUGUACAUUGGACACAGUAACUCAACUGGCCAACUGAUUAGUUAAAGGGACAAUCUAAGUACCAUAACCACCACAGUUGGUUAUGGUGCUUUUACGCCGUGGAUACAGUCCUUAAAUUUUUUUUGUCACCAUGAGUUUUAGACGUUUGACCAAAAAAAAUUGAAAAUAAAAACAGGGAUCCCUGGUGCCCUAACCUCCCCUCAUCAGCCUCUGAUUUGGUAUGGCUACAUUUAAUUUCUUCACUAUCCAUUCAACUUUGUGGAUGGUGUAAAUAACAGGGGGCAUCAAAACAGUUAAAAGUGCAUAUAUACAUGCUCCUAUAAAGGAAAAAUGGAAGUAACCUACAAAAUAAAAAAAAUCACAAAAAUCUCAUAGUACAUACAAAUAGUUCACAUACUGCUCUCACUGACCAAUUUUAUGCUGUUUAGGCAUAAAUUAAUUUUGUUUAUAAAGCCCCAGCCUUACUUCCCCUGGCUGUGACUCAGUCAGCCUCCAUGAAAAAAAGGUUUAAUUUUCAAUCAAUUCGUACAGCACAGUGUGUUUACUUUAAAAAUGAUCUCCCGCUUUGUUAAUCGAACUUUAAUUACACACAUAGCAGUCUUUUGCAAACAGUUAAAGGAGCAGGCAAUUAAACAUACUGUGCAAUAAGGGUUGUUUAAAAAUUAGACUACAUUUUUCCAGAAUGAGUAUGGAGGCUGUGUGAGUCUCGGCCAGGGAAUGUGUUUAAACAAAGUUAUUUAACUACUAAAUGGCAGGAGCUUGGUCUAUACAACAAAACUGACUCAUUAAGCUAAAGUUGUGUUGGUGCUUAGUAUCCCUGUACAGUAAUUUGACAUACUGCCUGGGGAUGUGAUAUAUUAAUUGGUCUCUAAACCAAACCGCACAAACGUUUUACAGUAUACAGAUGAGUUUGAUGUUGCAACGUGCAAGGUAGUAAACUUGCUAAAAAUAUGAAAUUGAUACAUUACACUAAGGCUAUUUGUCCUGUGUCGCUGUGUCGAACUGUCGAUGUGUCGAAUGUAUUCCAAUAAGAAGUGCUAAGUUGUUGCUUAUAUUUAUUUAGUUUUUGAUACUUCUAUGUACAAAAUUAUCUAUAAAAAUUAGAAAAUGUUACUAGUCAAAAUAUAUGACCUAGGCUGCUCAGCACAUGAUAUAUACUAUGUAAUCAUAAGGUAGUGCAUCAUUUUUCUAUAUAAUUAUAAAUAUAUAGAGUACCAGCAAUUUUCAGACAUCUUACCAUUGAUUAGCACCAGUGACCCGGAAUUUCCUACAGUUAUAAAUUCUCAGGAAUUGAAAGUGCAUUCAGAGUUAAUUAAAAAAAAGUUUUAGAAAAAUUCUACAGGUCAACUUGUUUAAAAAAAAAAAAAAAAAAGUCUUUAUUUUUGCUGUGCAUAUUGUAACAGUAGAACUUACAAAGCAUGUAAACACAUAUAGGAUAGUUGAUAGAACUUGCACAUUUUUUUUAAAGGGUUAAUAAUCAGGAGUUAACUAUUGCAUGAGUAAGCUAUUUUGAAUUUGCUAAGAACUUAGUAGGUUAGACUGUGCUUUGUCAUGCUGCAGAAACAACAAAGAGGCAAACAGUGGUUUACUGUGAGUUAUAAUAGGUAUGAAGCUUAUAGCUAAACAGACUGACCCUUCCUGAGUACCUAUGCAGUAAUGCUGGGCUGGAUUUCUUAGAAAGCACUUCUAUAUAUCAAACAUAACAUCGCAGUCCGGUAUAUAAGAGUUUAGACUUGCGGGCAAACUGUGGAUGGCUGGUGGCGGUCUAAAACGGAGCAUAUGAAAAGAUGUAUACAUAAUCAUUGAGGCAUAUUGAUUAAAGGUGGGAAACAAAACCAGAAUGAGCCAAAUAAACAUAGUGAGCCGUUGCAGCUGGUCAUCUUGCCGUGAUGUAGAGUGAACGCGGAGAUAGUCCUUCUCAGCCUAUUCCCAUCAAGGGCAGUUUGUACCCCCACUGAAGUCUGAGACACAGUCCACUGCUUUCCCUGAGGAGUUGCUGCGGCAUUGUUGCGGUGAAGAGAGUGGUUAAGCCUUGAGGUACUGUAAGCUGUGGUUGAUUGCCUUUUGUUGCGCAUAGUCCCGGGUGUAGAGCCUUUGGGCCCAGGCCUGAGGCUAGUUUGGGUGCUUUCUUGCCAUGUGGCUGGUGGAGCUUCUUCCUCCGUUUAAUCCUGGCUCUUGCAGGGAUCGCCGUCGCUCUCUUCCUCAUGGCACUGGGUGGCGGACUCCUAUUGGAACCGCUUGUCGGCACAUGGUGUGCAGAUGAAUGUAUCCGCUCGCUCAGUAUGCUUCAGAACCUUGCGAAGAGGUGAUCCAGCCUAGUGAGGGACUCGUCAGUGUCUUGGCUGGGAGCUGUAGCGCACGUGGUGUCCGCCGUUACCAGAGGGUUCCGGAGUUUGCAAGGUAUGCGAGUGGGUCUCUUGGAUUAGGACGCCCACCGGUCCAAAGAGGGGGGGAAACGGGGCAGCAGUCGGAUUUGGCGGUAGUCCAGCGCCCGGCAGGGCGGGAAAGUGUCCGCCUCCCUCAUCCGCCAGCCGCACUAGGCCGCACCGCGUCCUCCGUGAAUUGUGUGAGGUAGGCCAGAUUUUAGUAGCCCCACAGGAAACCUGUUGUUGCAGGGUGUCAGCAAGUCACAAUUAGCCAAGAGAUUAGCGCCGCAAGGGGCAUAAAGCAUAUGCAAGUCAGUAGCUUAGCGUGGAGCUCCUGCAGAACGCGUCCAGCCGCCAUGCAGGUCAGGCCCUGGUCAACUUAGUUUUUAAUGCAGCUAGUCUGGGUAAAAAUUCCCUUUGAUUUCCCAUUUUAAUGAACAAUCCUGGAAAUGUAAAGCUGAACUACGUAAAUUACAAUGAUAGUUAAUAUUGAGGAAGAAGCGGUUUUAUAUAAAAAAAUAAAUGAAAUCAUACAUAAGUAAUAAGAUCCGGCUUACGUCUAAUUCUUUGCUGAGUUGAGCUGCAGAGUAACUUCCUUACUAUGAGAUAUUGUUGUAAUUGCUUUUUUAGGAGUAAGAUAAGAGAGGAACUAAGCAGAACUAAGAUUACCAAAUAUAGUACAUGUUUAGAGCUGUUUACUUUGGGAUAUUACUGGGAAACCCCUGCCAGUGAGCCACGAGUUCUCUUUGCUACGUGGUUAAGGUUUGUGAUACCUUAAAGGGACACUGCAAACCCCUAAAGAACUUUAACUUGUUGAAGUGCUUUAUGUGUGGAGAGUGUGUCUUCUUUUUUAAAUUUUACAAAAAGUACAGAUUUUAAUAGAAAUUAGAACAUUUAUAAUGUGGCUCUGUUACAACCACCUGGCUGUCAAUCAGACAACUGGCUCUGUUACUUCCUGGUUUGGUUAGCUCAAUGCUGCUAAACUCAAGAGGCAGCAAUUGCCCAGAGCACCUGCCUUGCAAAGACUUGUCAUUGAGCUGCAUUGCAAAGCCACAGAAUGUCUGGGCAGGUUAGAAGGGGAGGGCUUGCAAAGGCUACAGAGAAGAGAUUUGUAAGUGUUUUAGUACAUACAGUAUAAAUAGUAAUUUUUAAAUUUAAUUUUUGUAUUUGGGCAGUGGAGUGUUCCUCUAAACUGUAAUUGACUGGGUUACAUUUUUAGAGGGAGAUAUGCUCUAUAUAUUAACGUUACAAAAAAAGUGGAGAAAUAAAAAGAGAGAGAAUGAAAGUAAAGUAUCAGUUCUCCUUUAAUAUACCCCAGCACUUUCCGUAGACACUUCAUCAGCUUUCAUUGUUGGCUAAAAACGACCCCCAACAUCCUGUUUCUGUUUGUUUGUUUGUGUAGUUUGAUCACUUCUAAAAAAAAAAAAUAUUUUUACAGAUUAUUAUUUAUGCACAGGAAAAGCCUAAAAAAAAAAAAAAAAUCACAGAAUAAUGUUCAGAAAAUUUAAUUAAAAUAAAAAUAAAAUUUGUUGCUGUUUAUUCUGCUCCUAAUCUAUGCUACAGUCCUCACCAAAACAUGUUUCUCCUGAAUAUACCAUUUUCUAGAAUUCCCCAAGAAAUUAUCCAGCACCUUACUGAUCUCCCAUUAAUCUCGACUUUACUCUCUCUCAAUAUUGUCAAAUUGACCAAUUUCUUGUUCCAGUGCCCUGCAUACUGUCUCUGCGCCUUUCACAUUAUCCCAUAUGUUUUCAAUUAUAUUUUUAUUUAUUUGUCAGUUCUUAUGCAGCGUUCUUACCAGAGCCCUUUACAAUUUAUGCAAAAAGAAUGUUAGCUAUUGUACAGAAAGAUUGAUCUAUAAUCAGACACAGUGAUAUAAAAGGAGAAGAGACCCUGUGUCAUCUGUUCAACGCCUUGCGUUGUACUAGGCAUAGAAGCUUACAAUCUAUUAAAUCUAUAAUUUUAUCUUCAAAUACAUGCAAAACCAAAGUAAAACGACAUUGGUACAACCAAAACUAAAUACCACUGUUCUCCCUCAUCUUACUGGGUCUUUCUGCAGUCUUUGAUAAAUUUGGCCACCACCUUCUGAUACAAACGUUUCGUACCUUUAGAAUCUGUGGCAUUGUGCUUUCCUGGUUCAAAUCUUAUCCUUCAGAUCAUUCUAUCAGUUUCUCAUCAGGCAUCUUCUUCUCCCCACUUUUUAUUUACUGUCCUUUUCUAUCCCUUUAAGCAAUCAAUCUCAGAAUAAUUUAUUUAUUUCCAUCGAGGGUCUCGAGGAUCUUUAUCUGUAACCCGUUAUCCAUUGAUUGAUUAUAUAUUAUGACAUUAGAGUGCUGAUGAUGAUAUCGCCAUGACAAUGCCUUCAGAAUUGUACUGAUAACAUGAUAGAAUCAGUGAUCACACAUGAUUCAUUUCUGAUUAUCUCUAUAUCUGUGCUGAAUAUGUGCUACUUAGUCAUAUAAGGCUUUAUUUUCACAUUGAAAAAGAACGUUUGUAAUAUUCUCUGGCAACAUCGAAGGUUCGGGAUUUCAACACUUCACAAAUUUUAGUUCACUGGUGAUGUAAUAAAAGUUGGGCUGUUAGCAGUGCAUGCGGAUUUUGUACGGCAAAAAACGAAGUAUAUUAAUCUUAAGGUUACACAACUGUUUAUGAUAUUUUAGGAUUUGCCUCUUAUCUCAAAUAAUAACAUUAUGGCAUUCUGUAGCUAUGCAAAAUAAUCUGUACUUCGUAUUUUUGAAAUUGCUACAAAAUAUAUGAUUUAUAUUGUAUUUCUUUACAAUACGCCCUUGUUCUGGUGCGUCAGUUUUCUCCAAAAUGCAAAUUGGGGCAUUAAACAAUGUCUCACUUAUAUUGCUUCAAUGCUAUUCCAGUUAUUAUGAGAAUCUAAUUUGGAUUACGGAGAAAUAUCACUCAAAUUGACUGCAAUCAGGACACAUAGGAUACAGUAAGGAAUACUUUGUCUUGUGGAUGGGCCGGAUUUUGGCAAAAUGUGGCGAAAGGCAGAGCUUUAAGCGGCUUCUUUUCUGCAUCUUGCUGUUUCGUUAUAAAUGGUGAUGGGAACAGGUAUCUUCUCGUUGCAUGAGGUCUUCAUGCCUAUGUGAAUGCACAAGAAGAUCAAUCCCAACACCUUGUUUUGCAGUCUUGCACAUGCAGGAGAGAACACCAAUGAUGUGGCUCCUGUUGACUUUCUUUAUGAAAGAUGGUCCAAAACUGGAAUAUGGUAGAACUGAGGAAGGAGAGUUUCAGUAAUGUGUAUCUUCCUUCCAAUCUUCCCGGAAGCCACCACACAAACACACAUACCAGCGAAGUGGGGGGAGUAAAAAGCUGCCUUACAGGUGUCAGUGACUUUAAAUACAAUCUGAUUUUUAAUUUAUUUCCGACAUAAAUAUUAAUAGAUAUAGACAGGGAAUCUGAGAAGAAUAGAUUGUCAGCUCUAAAUAGACAGGCAGAAAUGAGGUAAGAAAUUGAGACGACGGUGAACGAAGCGGUAGGGAGCGUGUCGGUGAUGUCUUUCAUUUCACUGAUGAGACCAUAAGGGGUGGUCUCCCCAACAAAGGGUAUUAAGUUGGUGGACUCCAUUCCAGUCUGACUAGCCUUCUCUCUGACCACUCUAACUCAGGGCUCCCACGCACAGAGCGCUGCUACCAACAGAGUCCAAAAGUGGUACUGCAGAACAUAACCCCGUAUUUGAGACUGUGAUGUUUAAAGUAAGAUGGCUGGAAAAUAGGUAGAUGUUUCUCCAUAAUUCAGUUCAUGUACGCUUGGUACAGACUAUGUUAUGAUGAUAUUCUAAGCAAGAGGUUUUCCAGAGUUCCACUGUCUUCACCGUUUGAAAAAGCCAAAAAAACAAAACAAAACUAUGAGAUUCUCAAGAAUGUUUACCAUGUUUUUAAAGAAGUUAUAAAAAUUAUGAUGGAGAUUUUCUGUUGUGGAUUUUAAUUCUUAUUUAUUUAUUUAUUCUUCGAUCUGAACUUUCCCGCCAGCUGUCAGCGCUUGUUAAUGAUUAAAACUUUCAGAGUUCUAUUAAAUUAUGUCAUUAGGCAACCACAGUAAAUACUUUUUAUUAGUAUGUGGACAUAAUCGAAAGUAACAACAUAGCGAUGAACAUUGCGAAGGAUGCAAAUGUGCUGUAGAAAGUUUUCAAAGCAAAGUCUCACUGAUCAUCUUCACUUCUCAGAAAUGACCCAAGUGAUGUGGCAUGGCCUGCUUUCUAAAUCUCUGUGGUUAUGACUGUUGCACUGCCAGAUAGGUGGUUAGAUAAAUGUAUUCACGGCAAGUUGUCAGAGAGACAAUUGUACUUGAAAUAUUAAUACUAAAUAAAUAAGUUCAUUAAAUGGAAUGUGGCAUAUUUGUGUCAGGCAAAACAGAUAUAGGCAUCCUUUUAAGAUUUUCUCAAGGGGUGAAAUUUGCUGUAACACCCCUCAAAGUCUGUGUGAUUGUGAUGGAAAUUGUUGGUAACAGUUAUUGUUAAAAGGUUCUCUUCUAUUCUUAGCGGAUUCCCUGUGUAGUGCACCCCACCUUUAUUGCGCUAUUUAUUUACCCCAAUAUUGAAAACUUGUUUGGCUUUUCUGCAACUCAACAGACUUAUCUUCACCCUCAAACAAAUGCGGUAGAUGAUUUACAGAUUUUACAGGCAUAGUUUCUGUUCUCUGAAAAGAAAAUGGAGAUUAUAAAUGUCUACUGAGUGCAUCCUCCAUCCCAAACUGACUCUUCCCAACCAUGUUUGGCCUCUACCCAGCAAGACAAACAAACCUGAAGGAGGUUCUGCUGCUGUAAAAACAUAUACUUUUAUUAUAACAUCAAUAAAAUAAAACAUUUAACCUGGAAGCCUAACUCAUGGUCACGUGACCAAGAGCUUGGCUUCGGUCACAUGAUUAUUAUUCCUCUGGGUUGGUCACAUGAUCACAUACAUUGGUUGGCAGGGCAACCUUGCAACCAGAUUGAAACCAAAGUAUGUAGUUAAAAAAAACAACAAGAAAAAAAUAUAUAAUAUAACAAAGCUGUAUAUUAAUCCAAGGUACAUAGUUACACAAUUUCCAAGUUCACAUACAAAACCUGUGAGUGAUGAGCAACAGUAGGGGACUUGCGGGUAACACGUGGCCUCUUGUUUUCUUGGGGCCACAGUUCACUCAGAACAGACAGGAAAAGUGACCAAACCAUCCUGGUUGAUUGCCAAUCAAGCCUCUCUUAAAAUGAUCUUGCACUGCCACAAGUAUAAUCAGUGAUGCGCUCAUACUCACAAUGUGUUUUCAAGUCUUCUCUCCAGUGGCCAUAGAAAACCCACACAAAAUAUUUUUUUGUGGUCGUCCAGUAAUUUUUUUUGUAUCUUUCAUUUACCCAUUUUUAAAAUUUAUUUUAAAAAAUCUCUAUUGUAAAUGGAAGUCACACAUUGUGAUUAUGCUUUAGUGUUUGUUACUUUAUAUCGAAUUAUUCUUCUAUGAGAUUCUUUCGGUGGUAUAUGGGGAUUAGACAAGCAAACACUGGCGAAUAGCUUUCAUUUUUUUUGGUAUAUAUCAAUCUCCGUGGCCUCAAAAACAAAAUAUCUGAGGGUUAUGAAAGGUGACAGCUGUUAUAUCUCCAACUACAUUUUCUCUCCCACAGCUGUCCAACAUCUUCAAAUAUGCUUCAGUAUCACUCUGUAGGGUACAAUACAUAUACUAGAUUUAAAGGUCUGUUGUAGAAAGCACAGAAUUAGUUUUCUUCAUGCUAUUUUAAGAUGCGUGGAUUCUCAAGCCAGCUAUCUUGUGAAAAAUCCAUAGACAUUUUUAUCCAUGACUUUGCAUCCAAAUUCCAUGAUCUUUGCUCACUGCAGCAAAAUAAAUUGUGUUGGGAUUUAAUCAGCUUUCACAUGUUUUUGCUAUCGGGCAUAAGUCUUUGGAGGGCAUCUGUUCUCUUUGUCACUGAGAGAUGUGUAUAUAGUGUGUGCAAAAAAUGAUGGUUGCACGUUUCAAGGAUAUUUUGCAUGGUGUGCAAAACUUAAAGUAACAAUGGUGCGCCAAACAGAAUAUUAAUAAGUGUAAUAUGUGUAUAUAUACUUUGCUUAAAUAUUUUGCUAUGUACUUGCUUAUAUAUCUUGAUCAUGAGAACCUAUAAAUAUCAAAAGACACAAAAAAAACCAACAUAGUGCUAAACUGUAAAAUAUAUAAAUAGUAUCAAGCUAAAAUUAUUAUAGCACACACAAAAGUAGGGUGGCUAGAGUACCACUCAAACUACCCCACUCAGGGAGGAUCAGCCUCUUGAGGGCACCAGGUCCAAAUCUGUAUUGUGUGGAAGGACUCACUACCAGCCCAAGUUACAUGUUGCAACUUUUAUUUCAAUUUUCGGUUCAAAAAAACAGUCGAAACUCAGACGUUUACAUUGCCCUCAAGCAAAUGCACAGUCUAUGUUAGCUCUGAUAUUCCUCUGAAUGUGCUCAGAGUUCACUUGUCUGUCAACCAUCGUGUCGAAUGAUCUCCUGCUUCUGUGUACUCCCCUGGUGUGUCACGUGGACUCAAACGCGUUUCGCCCCACCUCUCAGAGCUUCUUCAAAGGCAUGUAAAGACUUUCCUUACACCCCUCCAUAUAUAUACCUACUUGUGCAUUGUUAAAAAUCAUGUUACUGGUAACAUUAAUACAUAUAAGUCGUUACAACCUUUCAAUACCGUCCUAGUAACAUAAAAAGUGACAAAGUAUAGUGACAUUCCCAAGAGAUUUUUUUUUUACACAUAACAUUCUUAAGAGGAACAUUUAUUAAAAAAAAUAAACAAAACUUAAAAAAAAUACUGUUUAUAGCAAAGAAGUAAAUAUUCAAAAAGCCUAUUUAUUGAAAGACAUAUAUAUAUGUACGACUUCUGCCUCAAAAAUUUUAAAAAGUAAAAUGCAAAAAGAUUCAUGUUGGCAUGGCAUGAAACCCAACUUACUGUAUAAAGCAUUUGUCAUUUAAAAGGGCAUACUUCGCUACUUGGGUUUGGUAUGUUCUGAAACAUUUGUGAGGCAGAAAAUAUAUAAUUUUGUUAAAUAUACAAAUAAUGUAAUAAGUGUUCCUUUAUUUUUUUAUCCUUAUUUGUCAGUCAAAUUUUAGGUUAGAUUCACUGAAUUGAAAACAUAGCUCACUCUGGGAAUUUUUAAAUUUCUGCGAUUGUGGCCUAAGAUUUGAAAAUUCACUUCCUGUCACUUCUCAUAACGAGUCUAAUGCAAACGUAUUUAUUUAUUUAUAAAACAUUUUACCAGGAUGGAUACAUUGAGAUUUCUCUCGUUUUCAAGAAUGUCCUGCGUGUUUGUCCACAAAACAUUGUAUUGUUACAAUAGGAUACAAUAUUACAAAAAUACAAUGUACAAACAAUAUAUAUAUAUAUAUAUAUACACACACACAUAUAUAAAUUUAAUACAUAGCAGGUAAUAAAUAUAUUCAACCAUGACAGGUGCAUUCUGUGCUGAGGUAUAUUGCCAUAGAUCUCUUAAAAGAUUUUAGAUUGAAUGAAGAUUUGACUGUGUCCCUGAGGUUAUUCCAUAAUUGCGGUGCUCUGUAGGAAAAUGAGGCUCAAGCCACUUUAUUUUUGUAUUGUGGUAUGCCAAAUAUCGUGGUAGUACUGGAUCGGAGGUUAUAGGAGGUGGGAACAGCCGGGGAGAGCAUUCUACUCAGGUAGCGGGGGAGCUUCCCAGAAAAGCUCUUAAACACAAGGCUGAAAAGAUGAAGAGUGCGUCGGGAUUCCAGCGACAGCCAGUUUAGCUCUUUUAACAUGUCACAGUGGUGGGUAAAGUAAUUACAUUCUAGUACAAAGCGGCAGAAUGAAUUAUAUAAUGUAUUUAAGUUUAUUAAGGUGGGUUUGCGGGUUAUAAUAAAAUAGAAUUAGUGUUCGCUCCCAACAAGCACAAUAAUAAACGCUCAGUUCUGCUAAAUCUCACACGCAGCUAUUGCAGCACAAAUAAAGUAAAAUCUCUUAACAUGGUAACCAUAGAAACAUAGAAACAUAGAAUGUGACGGCAGAUAAGAACCAUUUGGCCCAUCUAGUCUGCCCAAUUUUCUAAAAACUUUCAUUAGUCCCUAGCCUUAUCUUAUAGUUAGGAUAGCCUUAUGCCUAUCCCAUGCAUGCUUAAACUCCUUUACUGUGUUAACCUCUACCACUUCAGCUGGAAGGCUAUUCCAUGCAUCCACUACCCUCUCAGUAAAGUAAUACUUCCUGAUAUUAUUUUUAAACCUUUGUCCCUCUAAUUUAAGACUAUGUCCUCUUGUUGUGGUAGUUUUUCUUCUUAUAGAAACCAGUUUUAUAUUUGUUGCUCAAAGGAAAAGGAACCAUUUCUGAAUAUGCUAACACACAAGAACACAACAUAUUGAGAACAUUGUUAUCACUUUAUUGGCCAAUGUCAUCUGAACACAGUUAUUUUUAUGUAAUACCAACUUCUGUUUUCACCGUGUCCUUCUUAAAAGGACAGCUGUCACACACCAGGACGUUUAUACGAAGUUUUACUUAUUUUUUUUUUACUGUUAUAUUUUUAACAAAUGUGUUGGUAAGGUCUGAAAACUAAAACUCAGUGUAGAAAUCCCUGUGUAGAAAUUUACUUCCAUCUUCUCUGCCUGAAAUUCACAUUUGGCUGCAAAAUAAAAACACAAAUAGUUGUAAUGUAGGGAUAGUAAAGCUAUAUAAUCGUAACUGAAUUUUCUGUUUAGAUUGGGUGAAUUUUCUGCGUAAAAUUUUAAAUGAAUUGCUGUAUGAAAGGGGCUUCCAGACAAUUCUCCAAGUUUUUCGAUGUCUUUAAAUUAACAUAAUUAUUAAAUGUCUAGCUUAGAAUCUGGAAUUUGAUUUAAAAACAUGGCGGGGUGAUUAAAAGUCCAACACCCAGAUAUUGUGGCACAUCAGCUUGCCUGAUGGUUUGCUAGUGAUAAUGGUAGCAAAGCAACAUUGAAGUUGGACUUUCUACCUUGUGAUAGAUACCUCUAUGCUACAGAGUUUUUAAUCCUGUGUAGACUGGAUAAAUCCCUACUGUCUAUUUCAUCACAGCAAGGUAUUUAAUUUAAUAUCACCAUGGUAACCAGCUAAUAGAGGGGUAUGCAGCUUGUUCACAAGCAUCCCUCCAAACCUUUGCAGAACUAUUUCAUAUAUGUUUAAUAUAUGUAUAGUUGUAGAAUCUGUUGCUUUGCAUACUUUGUACGGCAGAGAACGUGACACUUUUCUGCUGGCUCUAAGCAAUACUAAUUUGUGUGAUUAAUCUUUUGAAUGGGUUAAGCAGUAGAUUAAAUAGACAGAGUUAAAAAAAAACAAGUCUUCUCCUAUAAGUGAAGACCAUGAUCGGACUAGGUUGUUUUUAGCAACGCCCACCAUUUGUUAGUGUUAUUUUCAGGAACGAAUAAAAGCACGUGCAGGCAUCAUGAAUCAUUAAUUAUCAUUACAAAUUAUCAUGUGAAAAGAGAGAUACAAAACAGGAGGAGCAACGAGAUUACGAACAGGGGAGAAGAGGAAAGAUAGACUGAAUUAAAGAGGUGGGAGUAAUAUGAGUAUAGCAAGAUGACUCUUCUUAACUCCGAAAUCUGGAUCCUGAUCGGUCAGGGAAGCAUUACUGGGUUGUUGUUUUUUAGAAACAUUUACUUUAAAAAAAAAAUUAAAAAAAAUAACAAAUCAUACUUCUGGUGUGAUUCAGCUUAAACAAAGACUGGAGAUUCAUGUGGAAAAAAUGCCUGCCUGAUUAUUUCAGUGUAAAUGUUACAAUUCAGCAUUCAAUUCACUGUUAAGAAAAUAAAUCACAAACUGUCAUCCUUGUAUAUCCUUACUAAUGCCAUAUAUCCCUGGCAGGACCGUCCUGAUUUUAUAUACUUGGCAGAAGGGCCGCCAUCAGGGCUUGACAACCAAGAUGGUUGUAAUGGUCCCAGCGGUCCUGGUAGGUCAGGGAAUCCUGGGCCCCACAUUACCCAUGUGCAUAUAUAUAUAUAAAACGCUAUACUUAUGUGCAUCUUUGGUCCCCCCCAUGAUCUUCAAAGCGUUGCCACGGGCUACCAUGGCAAUGCUCCACGUGGCUCGCCAGACUUAGGCAGAGCAGCUUGGAAGUAUAUUUUGAGUGUGCUGGGCCCCCUGUAGAGUACAGAUAGCGGGGGACCCACACCAUGCCACCGGACCCCCAGGCAAUGUGAUCUCCACCCCUAAGAUGCAGGGAGGGGGGAAUAAAAUAACAUUUAUUACAAUUAAUGGAAGAAGAAAAAAACCUGAAUACUGUAGGCUUUCCCCCCACAUUAUGCAAACCCAUACAUUUACACACACGAUACACUAUACUACUACAUUUACACACACUAUACACUAUCAUUUACACACACUAUACACUAUACUACUACAUUUACAUACACUAUACACAAUACUACUACAUUUACACAAUCACACUCUGCAGUCACUCAACACACUACAACCACUACAAAAAAACACACUCUAGAGUCACUACACACACACUACAUCCUUACACAAACACACACUUUCCAUUCACUACAUACACUACAUCUACUACUCAACACACACUCUGCAUUCACUACACACACUACAUACACUACACAAACACACACUCUGCGUUCACUACACACACUACAUACAUUACACAAACACACACUCUGCGUUCACUACACACACUACAUGCACUACACAAAGACACACUGUGCAUUCACUACACAUGUACUACAUCCACUACACAAACACACUCUCUGCAUUCACUAUACACACCACAUCUAAUACACACAAACACUGCAUCUACUAAACAAACACACACACUGCAUUCACUAUACACACCGCAUCUAAUACACACAAACACUGCAUCUACUACACAAACACACACACUCUGCAUUCGCUUUACAAACACACUCUGCUUCCACUACACACAUUCUACAUCCACUAUACACACAGCACAAUCAGUACACACACAGCAUCCCUGUGGACGGACUCGGGGGGCGGCCCUGUGAACGGACUCGGCCUUGAGCUGUGUCAGGGGCCACAACAUUUCUGAUGGCUGCCCUGCUUGGCAGUAUAUGUUUAUUAUGCAUGUGAAAAGUUUUAUAUUUAGCUGCAAAGUCUAGAUGCAGUUGGGCUCAGGUGCACGCUCUGCUCAACAGACGAAACCAGAAAAACUUUUUCGGCAAAUGGAGAGCUGUUAAAAUUCCCUAUUAGUCAAAUGACAUGCCCACAAUAAUAUAGUAUUUCUCAUAGAACUAAUCAGAUUUUAAAGUUAACAUAUGUCAACGUUUGUUCUAAUAUACAAACCUUGCUUUAGUAUAACAAUAAUCUGGAUGAAGACAUAAUGUUGAAGAUAUUUGCUAAAUUCUUCACACAAACUUUUUUAUUUUUUAUUUUAAUUGUCUCUUUUCUAAACACAUACAAAACCUGCCAAGUUAGAAAUAGAAAAAAUAUCUCAAAUUAAGAGUUCACGAGUUCAAGAUUUUUUUCCUGUUUGGCAAUUUUAGUUAUGCUUUAUAAAUUGGUUCAUUUGAGAUACUACAAUCUCCAUUAAAAGAUUUUAUAUUUUGAACCAUGGGUAAUAUAAUUAUUAAUUGACCAGCGGGCAUUCGGCUGACUUUCACUAAUCAAGAACGCAAAUGUUUAUCUCUCAUUAGCUGUUUAUAUCCUGCACUGUAAAAUGAUUAAGCUCUGUGUAAUAUAUUUGUGCUAUAGAAACGCUAAUAAUAUUAGUAAUUAGUAAUAUUAGUAAUUAGUAAGUGAUAUUUGGCACGUCUUGUAUAAGUAUUACUGACAAGUGUUUUCUUGUACAAUAUAAUUUGUGUUCUGUAAUUGCAGGGGAUUCUCGACCCGAAGAAUAACUAUAAGAAUUGUGUUAGCGGUCAAUAUCACACUGAUUACGCCCCAGAUAAUCAACCCAACGUGCAGAAUCUUUCACACAACCACUUCGCUAUGAAGUUUCCCUUCACACUGACUCCCACUUGCGUAGGUAUUUUUUAUUCUAUGUUAGUGGUUGGAAUUUCCUGAGUACAUCAAACCAAAUAAUUAGAACAAAGAAACAUUUUACUACCGGAAAAUUAAUCGAAAACACUGAAUUAUGUUUGGAAACAGUGAGACGUUCGAAUACUCUGUAUUUGUCAAUGGACAUAAUGUAUUUAUAGAUGAAGACACCCAUUUUAACACAUUACACUGUAUAAACAAUGUAUAAACAGUUGUGUGACCAGAAUACGUUUGCUCACUGUAUUAUACAUCCUGUUGGCUGUAUUAUGUAUUUUCUCAAAAAAUACCAAAGUAAAGAUCAGAGGAAUUUUUGAUAUAGGUGAACUUUAAAAAAAAAUAAAAAAUUGUUUUUAAUGCUUUAUUUAUAAUGUUGUUCAGUACAAAAUAUAAACCAGGCCAUUGUCACACUCAUACAAUUGUAGCACAGUAAUAAGCAAUUGUCAUACAGAUGCAGUACAGCAAUAUAAACAAGGACUAGAACGAGGGUUUUGUGAAAGUAAUUAGGAGCUCCAUUAAGGCAAAAAAAUAAAAAAGACGGGCAUAAACAAGGUCAUGGCUCCACAGUUCUUAAGCACUCCAUUUUAGAACUGUUAAUAAGGUUAGCUCGUAGAAAGCCCCUCUCUCUGUGACAGUAGGUAUGGCAUUAAGACUAACUAUUUACUGAGUACCGUAAUUAUAAUAUUACAAUAACUAUAUAUUGAAGUAAGCUGGAGAGAGCAGCUGGAAGCACAAUACAUAGGGUGUUAUUAAUCCCUAGGCACAAGGAGGGAGGGGACAGUAUUCACAUACUCCCAGUGAUACCACCCUUGUUUUUAAAGGUAGUGUCUAUCCUUGACCAUACCUCAUAUAAUAAACAAUAUUAAGAGACAGCAAGCUGGCAAUAUAAGAAUAUAGAAACAGAAAUAGCAUUAUGAAAAACAUUAUGUCUGUGUGUUGGUUGCUUAUCUUACACAGCCAUAAUGUUCCAUAACCCCGCAAGGGUUCUGGAUUCAAUGAGAUAGUCCAGGUUUUGGGAUCCUGCCCGGUUGUUCUGUGCUUGUUCUGGGGACACCAAAUAAAAAUCCAUGUGAAAGGCCGUGCUAGGCCGACAUGUCCCUUUUUGACAUUAAGCUGUCUCCCACAUUCAUCCCUGUUGCUCAAUGUGCUACUGACAUGCCCUCUCCAGCCCUGCUAUUUACUAGUAUCAUUUAAAAAAAACUCCAAAUGUUGAGAGCUAUGUGGCUUUUAGUGGGGCAAGACACAUUUACAGUAUAUAAUCUUUUUUUUAAUUUUUUUUAUUCUGUGGUGGCUUGUUGAUGUAUUAAUUUGACCAUCUUUUUUUGGAGAUCUACCUGAACCUCCUUGUUUUACCAUCACCUUUUGUCUCCAAAUCUUACGGGCAUCUUUCCAGUACCCGUAACCAGACUGUGCAGAAAACUGAUCACAAACUUUAAUUUAUCUGUGAAGUAUCUGCUCCCCAAUAUUUUUCUGCAGCUUGACAAAUACUUCUCUAUACAGCCUUUAUCACAAGGAAAAUGGCUGACACAGUUCUGCCUAAUGCAAAGCACCAAUACCUUAAAAGAGUUGGGUUUACCAUAAUGUGUGACCAAAUCCCUGUUUUUCACAGGUAAUUUUUAGUAGCCUUGAAAGAUUGAUACUGUCCUUUUGUGGGUGCUCCAAUCCCCGUCUGUGUAUUUUUUAACAUUAGGACAAUGCUCUGCUAGUAAGUUCAAUAUUCAUAUUAGAAUCUUUUGAAGUCAGAAAAGGGAAAGAAAGAAAUAUUAAAAAUCUGAAAUUGCCAGAAAGUAAAGGAAACCACAAAGUAGAACCACCCCAAUUCAUUUCUGCAAAUAUUUGCACCUUUACAUAGGUAAAAACAUUUUUUUAUGGGUUUUAUGUUUCUCUGCUAAAUUUUGCUGAGUGUAAUAGAAAUCUGUGGGAGAUUCAGAGGUUGCAAUGAUGAACAAACAGAAAUAAACUUCUUUGUUCUCGUAAACAGCUUGCUUGGGCAAUAAAGUGUGAAUAACAGUUGCUGAAUGAUAUUUUCAAUGCGGUAUAAGGUGUGAAUAAUAUUAGCUGAACCAUCUUUUCUAUUUAAAGUGACAGUGCAGUCAGUUAGUCCAUGUGGGGUUUAUUCAUUGAGCAGCCAAUUCAAAACUGAAUUGGAAAAUUGCAGGCUAAAAUAGCACAACUGUGACAACAAUUGUCCAAUUCAGCUAUUUUUUGUUAAAUAUUUUUAAUCAAUCUACUUUUUAGUAAACAAACCUCUGUAUGAUUUAAUACCCAUGCUGUGUUAAUACAUAUAUAUAUAUAUGUAUAUAUAUAUAUAUAUAUAAAUAUAUAUAUAAAUAAAAAUAAUGUAUAUAUAUAGUUAAUACAAUGUUAAACAAUAAUCUGCACACCAGUCAAGCCAUAAGACUUGCUUUUCCCACAGAAAUCACAAAUCUGCAGUGAUGUUACUACUGCAAAGGAUUCUGGGUGGGCAUAUGCAAAUUUGUUUAACAAAGAAUCACAUUUUUGCCUCAUUCCAUUUUAAACAUGGAUUCCUUCAAGUCUGUGUUUGCUGUAUACAACAACUUAGGAAAAGAUGCAAAGCCACGGACAGCUUAUAAUAAAAUAUCUCCUUCCUAUUACUAUGCUAGAAAAAAGUUAGAAUUUUAUUUCUGACAGGAGGCUCAUAUUAUGCAUGUUUAAAGCUAGAUAUUUCUGUAUCAAGGCAUGAGAGAUACUAACUAAUGUAUAAUAUUCAUAUAAACAAUAAACAAUAAUCAGUUCUAAAAUAAAAUGAAAAAAACUAACUAUUUUGUAAUAUCAGAAGACUCGUUAGCUGUUUUAGAAUGUACUCUAACUUGCUCCUGCCCCCAAAUAAUUAGUUGCCAUAGUAGGUAAGUAGAAUGGACCAGAAAUGUAGCGAUAUGUUAAUACCUAAUAGAAUAUAAUUUGACAUGCUACAUCUAGUUACAUCUCGUUAAUGUUCCUUAGGUAAAUGGUAGCUUGUUACCGAAUUUCCUCCCAUUUGUUCACAGACUAAAGAAUAUAGUUUUGUCAGUGGAUUUAUUCAAUAUAACUUCAGACACACAGACCACGUGCAUUUAUUGGCUAAUGAAUAGAAUAUGAGCAGAACCAAAUCCUGUUUUUUCUACCAACAUCUUUAUAAUUCCAACAAAUAUCAGUAGUAGAAAGAGGAUCCAGGCACUCAAAGUAUCUUCAAAUGUGUUUAUUGGGGCAAGUGAGACACCGCAACAUUUUGACCCUGAAAGGGUCUAUUUCAAGCUGGUGUUGGCCCCUGGUCCAGUUUAGCACCCGGAUCUUCUCGUUAUUGGAAGUGCUGUUCGUUUUUCUCUUUUUAUAAUUUCGACAGAGACCUGAAAUUAAAUCUAGUAUCUGACAUCUGGGUCAUAGGUAAAACCACAUAAGUCAACCUUAAAACUUCUGCCAAAACCAAAGUUAGAUAAUUUAAUUACGAUUACCCAAUGGGAACACAAGAGGACAGUCUGUUAGUAUCUCUGAAAGACGUGGAGACCAAGGCUGGGUAACAAGAAGCACUGUUUUUUUUUUUUAUAGUGUAGAGCUGUAGAAAAAUCUCAAAAUCCUAUUGAAAUAGAGGAAAAUAUAAUAGGUAAUUUUUUUUUGGUUCAUGUUUUUGACUUUGUCCUAUCAAAAUCCUUUAAACAUUAUAAAACAGUUGACAUUUUUCUUUGCAAAAAUCCUGUAAAAACAGUAAGCCAUUAGAAAAUAAUUAUAAUACAGUCAAUAUUUUGUUAUGAGUAGCAUGAAUAUUUGUUUGUGAUUCAACUGCAAAGAAAGAGAAGGAACGUUGCCAAGAUAGAGCUGAUAUAGACUGUGUUACUCUCUGAUUGGUUACCACAACAUUCCGUUCAUCAGUUUGUGUGUACUGUGCUUGUUCAUGUUUGUUUACAGGAUUUGCAAAUUUUGGGUAAAAUUCAGAGUGUAUUAAAAUAAAUAGUAGUGCAUUAUAAAAAUAUAUGUUAAAUACCAGUAAAUAUAAUUUUAAAUGUGGAUAGUUUACCUACACGAAUGCCGGCCUAAUCAGCGACCUACAUCAUUUGCUCUCAGAACUUUGAAAAACAUUUCAAAGAUGUUCUACUUCAUAUAUUUAAAUGUAGGACAUGUAUUUAUUAAGGUGAGCUUGUUAAGAAUUGCUGCAUUUUAGUUUAACCCGUACAUUAACUAUACAUGCCUACUCUGGACGAAUCACUAAAGUGUGAGUUUUAAGAACCCAAGGUGAAUUUAAAGUGAAUAUCAAAUUUUAAGUCAAAUGGUCGAGUUAUUAACGUUUUCAAGUCAGCUAUGUGUUCAGUUCUGCUAUCUAAAAUUUCAAAUAUCCUCAUGAAUUCACUUAAAAUUCCCAACAACUCAUAAUUUAGUGAAAAACACGGACAGUUUAGUAAACCAUCAUCAAAGUGCAAUUUAUUUGCCUUCUCUUUGAAGGGAUUCUAUAUAGCCAGGAAAACAAACCCAUUUUCCUUGCACUAUAGGCUCCUGCAGUGCCACCCUCCCUCGCGCCAAUGCUUUCCUAUGGAAAAAAAUCUGAUGCUGGAGGUCCCCACGCAGAAAGUGAGGACGUCCAGCGUCAGAUAACCAAAGGUCCGUUUCGAUUCCGGAAGUCCCUCUAGUGGCUGUCUGGUAGACAGCCCAUAGAUGAGUUAACCAUCAGAGGUAAUUAUUGCAGUUUCUCAGAAGGGACCUGGGACAUUGUCUGGGUGCCUACCGUGUCCCUUUAAAAAUGUAUUGUAUGCAACCCUAAAUGGCCACGCUCAAGCUAGUGGCCCUUAGAAAUUCGCACCUUAAACACCUCUUUCUUUUCAUAAGGAUUGGCAUAUCUUGGGUUCAAAAAGCUGUUUAUUGAGCAAGGUUAUAGCAGUCAACAGUACAAUUGAGUAUGCAGCCGAUAAACUAGACACGCAUGUCUCAAUGGCUAGUACAUGGUAACAGAUUAAGCUGCAUAUUGCAGCCAACACGUUUCCUAUAAUUCAGGCUAAGUAACCUUAUAACAAGUAACAUUUUGCAGUGACAGCAGGGAUAGUAUACUGAUCGUUUCAAUGUAACAGGACAGCAAUAUGAGGAUUGGCAUAUGUUGCUUUUGACCCAAGGCCCUAUUUAUACCCCUUUACUGUGUACGACAGAGAUUGCCUAACUUUUUCACUCCCAAAUGUGUGUGCUCUAUUUUCCAUUAUAGCUACCUAGGAAUCAUGGGAAAUAUAGUUUACAAACAUGUCUGUUCGUCCACCCACUGUAAAGUGCAGCGGAAUUUGUUGGCGCUAUAUAAAUAAUAAAAUAAUAAUAAUAAUAAUAAUAAUAAUGUGGAGUGUCACGUUUAGUCCUCUCUAUGCUACAUAAAGAUAGAAGAGUUUGCUACAAUGAUUAGCACUUUAACCUGUUAUGGUGAGCUAUAGCUUUUAGCUUUGUUGAGGUUAGGAAGUGGUAGCAUUUAGCAGACAGUGACUUUAGAAAGGUGAAUUUUCUCACGAGCGUGAAAGGAACUCUAUAGUGUUAGGAAUACAAAGAUUUUGAGUUAGAAAGGCCAUGAGAAAUAUCUGACAUCUCUGUCCUGCAAGUGAAAGCAGACACAGAGUUAUAUCUGCCUUAAAGCGGCACUGUCAUGGCCAAAUCCAGUUUUCUUUUUAACCGGGGUGGCAGGAGGGGGCCCUAAAUGAAAAUAGGGGGGACCUAUUGUCCUCCCCCUGGCCCUCACCCCUGAGCGGCGAGUGGGGGCCCUAAAUGAAAAUAGGGGGGACCUAUUGUUCUCCCAUCUGGCCCCCACCCAUGGUGGCUAAAUGUGAAAAUACCCCCCAAAGGUCCAUUUCGAUUAGGGGUCUAGGGGUCUCCAAGCCCCUAGUCACACCCCCACCCCCCAAAGAAUUUAAGCACUACCAACCCCCUCACCCUAAAAUUAGUGAGGAGGGAGACCAUAAAUCAGACCAUAAACUAGAAAAGGCUGAAUAAAAAACCAUAGUACCUGUCAAAUUUAUAAAAUAAAAAAACAGAGCAAAAAAAAUAAUAAAUCAGACUAAAAAGAAAAAAUUCCCGACGCUAAAAAAAUAAUCCAUCUUCACCCGCGAGCCUUCCCACGCCCUGCAAUUAUGCUCAGCGCACACUCAUUGGUUGGUUUAAAAACCAACCAGAGUUCUCUGACAGGUAAAUGAAGAGACUGACAGGUAAGUCUCUACAUUUACUUGUCACAGCACUCUGAUUGGUUGGCUUGGAAUCCAACCAGAGUGCUCUGUAAUUUUACACAACGUGGGAAAGUUCUUUGGAAUUUUCCCAUGCUGUGUAAUUUAAAUCUUCACACUCUGGUUGCUUUCAAAAAAGAAAGCAACCAAUCAGAGUUAUGAGUCAAAUUACACAGCAUGGGAAAAUUCCAAAGAACUUUCCCACACUGUGGAAAAUGACUCAGUACUAACAUGAAUGGACGAACUGCUCUCAUUUUGUUAGGACAAAUUUCGGUGGUUUUUCCAGGGUUCAGGAAUACGGAAAGGAGGCAUUGCGAGAACACGGAGGAAAGGUGAGAAUUGUGGGGAAAUUUUUCUGACCACAGGAAACAGAGCACACUUUGCUUCUCGCUGGUCAUAUAUAGUCAGGCAUAGGAAACCUUCAUAAGACAAAGUAGUCUCUACUUUGUCUUAAGUUUUAAAGAAAACUAGAGCAGACAGAAAGAAAUGAAGAACAGAUCCUGAGAGAGGCAGAGAAGAGGAAGCGAUUGGGGAAAGGUAAGUUUGGCAUGACAGUGCUGCUUUAAAUGGAACAUAUUGCUUUUAUCUGUCUGAAACAAGCAGAAGUGUUAUGUAAUGACAAACAUCAGAAUUAUUGAAAAAUAAGGUAAAUUAUUUCUUCUCCGGGAAGGUUCUGUGAAAAAAGCUAAAAUGUUUCAUCCUUAGAAUCUUCUCGGACAUUUCUAUGGAAAAUGGAACUAGGGGAAAGUUAUCAUACCUGCCUGUUAUUAUAGGUUUUUUUUUUUUUUUUUUUACAUUAGCAUCUCAUAGCUAUUUCUAAACUUUAUCAGUUCUAGGACGUUAAGGCAGUGCUGUCUUGGUCAAUUAUUACAUUUGUACAUAAAUAUACAGCAGAUUAGUGUCUGUAGGGCUUCCAAAGCGUGGAGUGCUUAGCUAACUAACACAACCAGAAAGGGUCAAUAACAAACCUUACACUACUGCUCGAUCUUCAAACCGCUAAGAACUAUCAAAAGAUUAUAGGUAUGGUUACAUGUUUUGUUCAAUUGAUACCUGUGUUAGUUAAAGGAACACAAUGGCAUUAUAAAUACAGACCAUAAAAAUAAUUAAAAUACAAGGAUUAACAGUUUUUUUCCCCAAGCUGAUCUCUUCUGCUUCUCACAAAGCCAUUGAGGAGCCAUGGCCUCCUCCAGCGAUGGUCCUCCCAAUGCUCCAGUUAGAGAAGCACAGAGGACCUAAUGCCCAUGAGUGCUGAUCGACAUAUGUGCAUUAAGCUUCCUCAUAGAAAAGCAUUGUAUUCAGUAUUUUCCAAUGGACUUCUGUGUCAUGUGAAAGUAUUACUUGGUUUGUGCAGAGGAAGCACCUCUAGUGGCUGUCAGGAAGAUCACAUUGAGCUGAGGUGGCCUGGGUCACUUUAGAGUCCUUAACAGCCUUCUGUAGUAGUAAUGGUGCCAACAUUGCCCUGGCGCUGUCACUGUAAAGUCCAUCAAACAGUUUUAGAAUAGUGUGAUGACUUACCUGAGUUCUACCAGGUGCCCAAGGCCUCAGCCACCCUUUGUAUUCUCCUACUCUGCUCAUUGGUUGAGAGUGUCAGUUGAGAGCUCUCAUAUAAUGAGCGUGAUCCUGGACCACCAGUGCUUAGCUUAGACAUCUGACUCCUCCCGCAGGAGCCGACCAGAUGCAGUAUGGCUGUCCAGGGCACCCAGGUGAGCUGCCAAAGCAUUCAACAACUGCUGGCACCAUAACUACUACACUGAUCUGUAGUGUUUAUAGUGUUCUUUUAAGAAAAUAGUGAACUAUGAUAGGGAUUCUGCACAAAUGGGCUUCCAGGCUAGCUAUUUGUUUGGAUUUAUUUGCUUGUUUUACGUUCCUUAUUUAUUGAAUAUUUUAACUUGAUGAAAGCUUGGAAACAUUUUUUGUUAUCUCUUCUGGACAAGUUCAUAUAAACAACAAAUGAUUAAGUACAAUAUGUUUGUCCAGCUAAACCCUAAUCAGAGAGCAGACUUGUUGUUCAAAAUUCUGGUUAUUUCGUAAAAAUGUCACUAUAGAUCUCAAGAAAUGUUCGAAAUCAUAAAUAAAUACUCAAACUUCGUGAAAGAUCUCUGAACUUAAUCAUUUCUUGUGGUUUUUUUGUUUUUACAGAUUUUGCACUCAGUGACUCCCAUAUACUUUGGCUUGAAGACUAUCCGAAAAUAAUGCUUGCAUCUUUUUUACAAUUUAUAAAUUACCGAGGAGUGUUUGAUGACAAUUGUAAUCUUGUAACAAACUAUAUGGGAUUAAAGAGAAAUUUUAUCCCACGAUGCCUUAAACCACAGAACUUUAAAUAUUAUGCAAAGUUUAAGACAGUAUUAUCAACAUGAACUCAACGAUGAUACACAAACUAAAGAGAAUAAUAAAAUAAAAGGAAUUGGACAUUUUUAAAAGAAUUACAAACUAAAAUUCCCUUUUCUUCAGUACAAGAACCACUUAUGAACAAAUGCAUCGAUUUAAAACCAAAACCAAAGGC
Molecule: non-coding RNA, 34397 nt
Organism: Pelobates cultripes (western spadefoot toad)
Lineage: Eukaryota; Metazoa; Chordata; Amphibia; Anura; Pelobatidae
Source: the annotation of a GenBank genome assembly